This 252-nucleotide ribosomal RNA is filed under the name uncultured bacterium. Its description in RNAcentral is "partial 16S ribosomal RNA". It matches the Rfam family "Bacterial small subunit ribosomal RNA", at positions 524 to 776 of the family's 1533-position model. The record is from RNAcentral.
UACAGAGACUGCAAGCGUUAUUCGGAUUCACUGGGCGUAAAGGGUGCGCAGGCGGUUGGGUGUGUCAGAUGUGAAAUCCCGAGGCUUAACCUCGGAACUGCGUCUGAAACUACUCGACUAGAGUACUGGAGGAGGGAACGGAAUUCACGGUGUAGCAGUGAAAUGCGUAGAUAUCGUGAGGAACACCAGAGGCGAAGGCGGUUCCUGGACAGUUACUGACGCUCAGGCACGAAAGCAUGGGGAGCAAAAGGG